UGGGGAAUAUUGGACAAUGGGGGCAACCCUGAUCCAGCCAUGCCGCGUGAGUGAUGAAGGCCUUCGGGUUGUAAAGCUCUUUUGGCGGGGACGAUGAUGACGGUACCCGCAGAAUAAGCCCCGGCUAACUUCGUGCCAGCAGCCGCGGUAAGACGAAGGGGGCUAGCGUUGUUCGGAAUUACUGGGCGUAAAGCGAGUGUAGGCGGUUGCCGUAGUCAGGUGUGAAAGCCUUGAGCUCAACUCAAGAAAUGCACUUGAUACUGGGUGACUAGAGGACCGGAGAGGAUAGUGGAAUUCCCAGUGUAGUGGUGAAAUACGUAGAGAUUGGGAAGAACACCAGUGGCGAAGGCGGCUAUCUGGACGGUUACUGACGCUAAGACUCGAAAGCGUGGGGAGCAAACAGGAUUAGAUACCCUGGUAGUCCACGCCGUAAACGAUGGGUGCUAGACGUUGGCGAGCUUGCUCGUCAGUGUCGCAGCUAACGCGUUAAGCACCCCGCCUGGGGAGUACGGCCGCAAGGUUGAAA
This 526-nucleotide ribosomal RNA is filed under the name uncultured bacterium. RNAcentral's name for it is "partial 16S ribosomal RNA". It matches the Rfam family "Bacterial small subunit ribosomal RNA", at positions 355 to 899 of the family's 1533-position model. The record is from RNAcentral.